Long non-coding RNA from Drosophila ananassae, 272 nucleotides. RefSeq lists it as uncharacterized. The transcript has 3 exons. The record is from RefSeq and is a predicted model, not a curated record. NCBI's taxonomy places the organism in Eukaryota, Metazoa, Arthropoda, Insecta, Diptera, Drosophilidae.
CACUCAUCGCAGAAAUGGGUGAAUCCAGUGGAGGUCGUCAAGUGGAUAAGGGUUAUCACAGUAUUAAGAAGAAGACGGAUGAUUAUGUAAACAUUGAAAACAUGUAAACAAUGAGGACUUCAAAACAAGAUUAAAAGACAGUAAUUUGGGACGACAAUGAGCAGACAGGUAAGCAGAUGAUCCUGGAGCAGGUGCCAUCCUUUGGAAGUGCAAUAGCUUCUCAGGCAUCAAUUCCCUUCAGGGGGGAUAUUUGGAGCGUAUUAAUUUCAAUU